Molecule: ribosomal RNA, 484 nt
Filed under: uncultured bacterium
Lineage: Bacteria
Description: partial 16S ribosomal RNA
Rfam family: Bacterial small subunit ribosomal RNA
Source: RNAcentral
AUUGAACGCUGGCGGCAGGCCUAACACAUGCAAGUCGAGCGGAUGAAGGGAGCUUGCUCCUGGAUUCAGCGGCGGGCGGGUGAGUAAUGCCUAGGAAUCUGCCUGGUAGUGGGGGAUAACGUCCGGAAACGGGCGCUAAUACCGCAUACGUCCUGAGGGAGAAAGUGGGGGAUCUUCGGACCUCCCGCUAUCAGAUGAUCCUAGGUCGGAUUAGCUAGUUGGUGGGGUAAAGGCCUACCAAGGCGACGAUCCGUAACUGGUCUGAGAGGAUGAUCAGUCACACUGGAACUGAGACACGGUCCAGACUCCUACGGGAGGCAGCAGUGGGGAAUAUUGGACAAUGGGCGAAAGCCUGAUCCAGCCAUGCCGCGUGUGUGAAGAAGGUCUUCGGAUUGUAAAGCACUUUAAGUUGGGAGGAAGGGCAGUAAGUUAAUACCUUGCUGUUUUGACGUUACCAACAGAAUAAGCACCGGCUAACUUCGUG